Molecule: long non-coding RNA, 3797 nt
Filed under: Homo sapiens (human)
Lineage: Eukaryota; Metazoa; Chordata; Mammalia; Primates; Hominidae
Description: non-protein coding lnc-COIL-8:4
Source: RNAcentral
ACUCGGCCCCCCACGGCCGGACCCACAAGGGUGGCGCGCGAACCCCGCGGGCGGAGGGGACCCCGCCUCCGGGCCGGCAGGGCGCAGGGCGAGGGGGAGCGCACCCCGACUUCCCUGGAUCACAUGGGCUGCGGGGGGCGGGUGGAUCGGGGGAGGGGAGGCGCGGGGAGCUUGCUGCGGCUCCUCACCCGGACCUGGGAGAAGACGCCCCCCACCCUCUCUAGUUCGCCCUCUCCAUUCAAGUUUGCCGGCCCCUGCCGCCGAGAUCCGGGAAUGGCACCAGCCGCCCGCCCUCCGCUGUGCCCUGUUUCCAGCCACCGCUCAGAAAUUUAGGUCAAGGACGUCGGGAGCAAACCCACACCCUGGCGCUCCUUUGGCGGCCCCCGAGACGCCCCAGGAUCGGGGGGCUUCAGGAUGGCGGAGACCCUCCUGCACAAACACCAGCCACAAGUUUUAUUUUCCUUUUGCGCUGGAAGUUCUCUCUGGCUCUGGCUCCACACCGGCACGUCUUGCGCGGUUCCCCGCCCUUCCCCAGUAGAGGUACCAAUCCGUGCCCGGGAAAGGUUAUUUUGGAACUUUGAGAAACUGACGCGAUUCCAGUGGCGAGAAAGUGCCGAAGAAAGGGUUUCCGCGUUAAUCAUACAGUGUUUUAAAAAUGUAAUAAGAUAGGUUAUAGGAGUCAAGGUCACAUGAUUGAGGUUCAAAGCAAAUGAUUAGGAGACAAAGGAAUACACUCAACACCAAAACUGAACCAAAUCCACUGUGGGCUUUGGAAAAAUGGAAUAUUGGGAAAAUCUCAACACCAGCCAUAGCCUUGAGUGACCAGACCCUCAGUCUCCCUGUUCCCUAAAUUGCAGUAAUUCCUCCUUGACAGGAUUGAUGUGGUGAAGCUCACUCAAUGUAGCCCCUGCAUCAGGAGAAUUCAAGCAGCACAAUAUCAGUCCUCAACCCUCUGAAAGUCUCAACAGCCCAAGACAAUGUUGGACACUUCCUUCUUCAAACUCAAUCUUCCAGGAUGGGUUUAAACACAUGGUGAUGCCACUCAAAUUGAAAUCUCCAGCCCCACCCUUCCUGAAGAGCUCCAGGCUCUGGUCAAUUUCCUAUUCAACAUCUCCACUUAGCCUUUCUAAAGGAAGCCCAAGUUCAAAUCCAUCUUUCUUGCUGCUGCAUCCCAGAUCUCCCACCUGAGGCCCUGCAACAGCUUACAAAACAGUCUUCCCACAUACACCCUUACUCCACUUACAUGCCUGGAAAUCUUUCCCAGACCUCUCUGACAGGGUCGAAUGCCCUUUGAUAUGCAGUUACCUUACCAGAACGUCCUCUGUGUACCUUACCCUGUAUGAUCAUUUGCUUUAUUGCCCAUCUCCUCUAAGCCAGAAGCUCCCGUGCCUUUCUGCUCUCCAUGUACUAGCACAGUGCCUGCUGGCGCACGGUUGACGCUCAAUAAAUAAUGAUUGACUGAAUGAGUGAGUGGAUGAAUGAAUGAAUGAUGGCCAACAUUUAAUUUCAUUCUAGGAUUCUUUUUGUAUUCAUGUUCAUAAGUCAAAUUGGCUGCAGUUUUUCCUUUUCUUACUGCCUUUGUCUGGUUAUACUGGUCUCAUAAAAUGAACCGGUAAAUGUUCCUUCUUUUUUCAUUUUCUGGAACAGUGUGUGUAAGAUUGGAAUUAUGUGUUCCUUGAAUGUUUGGUAGUUUUGCAGGUAAAUUGUCUGGGUCUGGGAUAGACAUUUCGUGGGUUGAUUUUUAACUACUGAUUCCAUUUCUUUAAUGCUCGUAGAUCUCUUCAGGUUUUCUGUUUUCUUCUUGAAUCUAUUUUUAUACACUAUGUUUUUCAAGGAAAUUAUCCAUACCAUCUAGGUUUUCAAAUGUGUUGACAAAAUGCUGUUCAUAGUUAUCUCUUAAUGUAUUUUAAUCUCUGCUCUAUCUAUCCAUAAUGUUUUUUUUUCAUUCUAAAUAUCAUUUUAUAUGUAUUUUUUCUUAUCUGGAUCAGCUGUGCCAGAGAUCUUUUUUUUUUACUAAUGUUUUCUUUCUACUUUCUAUUAGUGUUUCCAAAGAACCAGACUUUAGUUUCAAUAUUGUUUCUUUUUCUGUUCCAGUAAGUUUUGUUCUUAUAUAUUAUUAUAUAUUAUAUUGUUAUAUAUGGCACAAUAGAAAAUAUAUACUAUUAUAUAGUUUGUGAGAAUAUAAUAUGUAAUGUAAUAUUAAUAUAUAUCAUAUAGUAUUCCCUUCUGCUUCUGCUCUUUUUGGAUUUAUUCUGUUGCUCUUUUUUUUUUUUUUUGAAUUGUUGCCUUAGGUAAUUAAUUUUUAGCCAUCUGUUUUCUGAUUUUAACAUUUAAGACUACAGAUUUCACUUUAAGUACCACUCAAGCUAUAUUCCACAAGAUAUAUAGACUUUUUAUCACCAAUGAGGUAAAAAAAGUUUAGAUUUUAGGCUGGACACAAUGGCUUAUGCCUGUAAUCCCAGCACUUUGGGAGGCCAAGGUGGGAGGAUCACUUGAGCCCAGGAGUUUGAGACCAGCCUGGGCAACAUAGUGAGGCCCCAUCUCUGCAAAAGAAAACUUUUCUAGAAACUAGCCAGGUGUGCUAACAUGCACCUAUAGGCCCAGCUACUCAGGAGACUGAGGUGGGAGGAUCACUUGAGCCUGGGAAGUUGAGACUGUAGCGAGCCAUGAUCAUGUCACUACUCCAGCCUGGGUGACAGAGCGAGAUCCUGUUUAAAAAAAAAAAAAAAUUAGAUUUCAGAUACGAUUUCUUGUUUGACUAGUGAAUUAAUACAGGUGUAUUUGAGGGGUAUUUGAGGUUAUUCUUUAGUUACUAACGUCUAACUUAACUGAAUUAAGGUCAAAGAAUGUGAUCUAUAUGAAGCAGAUUCUUUGUUAUUUAUUGAAACUUGCUUUGGUGCAGUCAAUUUUUAUAAAUAUUUCAUGUAGAUUUGAAAAGAAUGUAUAUGCCUUAAUUUUUAAGUACAGCAUUUUAUAUGGGUCUAUUAGAUCAGACUUAUUAAUUAUAUUGUCUAGAUUUCCUGUAGCCUUACUAAUAUUUUGUCAGCUUGACCUGUUGGUUUUUAUAGAAGUACAUUAAAAUUUCUAUAUGACUAGAUUUGCCAGUUUCUCCUGUAAUUCUCUCAAAUUUUGCUGUAUUUUAAAAGUAUGUUGUCAGGUGCAUCAAAAAGAACUGUUAAAAUUUCCCACUGUAACUAUACAUUUUCUGCUUCUCAUACUUUUUGCUUUGUGUAUUUUAAGGCCUUGUUAUUCAGUGCAUACGAGCUUAGAUUUGCUAUUUUCCUAGGAAUUAUUCCUUUAAUAUUGGCACAGAAGAUACUUAUCCCUAAUGCCUUUUGCUUUAAAGUCUACUUUGUCUGUAAUAAAUGUAACUACUCUUUUAAUUAGCCCUUCACUUAUAGAUCUUUCUCUUUCCCUCUUUCCUUUUACUUUGAACCUUUCCAUGUCCCAAAUUUUUUGUUCAGUCUCCUGUAAAUAGCAUAUAGUUAGCUCUGGUUCAUUAUUGUGCUAACUAGUAAGUUUAGUCCAUUUACAUUUAUUGUGAUUGCUGAUAUUUUUAAAGAUCACAAAAUAUCACAAUUUAGGGGCACAAAAAUAUAUUAGUCACAAUCUCUAGUAUAACACACUAUCAUCAUUGUGUAUACUCAUGGCCCUAUUUUAUUUUAUUUGCUGAUAUCAUGAAUACCUGUAAACCUGCUAUUCAACCAGAGAACUAAAACAGAAACAAUGACUUGACUUAUGUAACAUCUGCUUAUGUGUUCCUCCCUAUUUUGUUCCUCUAAAGUAACCACCAGUCU